This 262-nucleotide ribosomal RNA is filed under the name uncultured bacterium. Its description in RNAcentral is "partial 16S ribosomal RNA". It matches the Rfam family "Bacterial small subunit ribosomal RNA", at positions 793 to 1055 of the family's 1533-position model. The record is from RNAcentral.
GUCCACGCCCUAAACGAUGUCAACUGGUUGUUGGACGGCUUGCUGUUCAGUAACGAAGCUAACGCGUGAAGUUGACCGCCUGGGGAGUACGGCCGCAAGGUUGAAACUUAAAGGAAUUGACGGGACCCGCACAAGCGGUGGAUGAUGUGGUUUAAUUCGAUGCAACGCGAAAAACCUUCCUACCCUUGACAUGCCAGGAACUUGCCAGAGAUGGCUUGGUGCUAGAAAGAGAACCUGGACACAGGUGCUGCAUGGCCGUCGU